Molecule: ribosomal RNA, 217 nt
Filed under: Clostridioides difficile
Lineage: Bacteria; Bacillati; Bacillota; Clostridia; Peptostreptococcales; Peptostreptococcaceae
Description: partial 16S ribosomal RNA
Rfam family: Bacterial small subunit ribosomal RNA
Source: RNAcentral
CUAACUACGUGCGAGAAGCCGCGGUAAGACGUAGGGGGGAAGCGUUACCCGGUGUUACUGGGAGUAAAGGGAGCGUAGGCGGGCUUUCAGGGCAGGAGUGAAAGGGGACGGCUCAACCGUAGUAAGCCCUUGAAACUGGGAGACUUGAGUGCAGGAGAGGAGUGUGGAAUGGCUAGUGUAGCGGUGAAAUGCGUAGAUAUCAGGAGGAACACAAGUU